RNAcentral lists this ribosomal RNA (605 nucleotides) under Salmonella enterica subsp. enterica serovar Enteritidis. RNAcentral's name for it is "partial 23S ribosomal RNA". It matches the Rfam family "Bacterial large subunit ribosomal RNA", at positions 30 to 678 of the family's 2925-position model. The record is from RNAcentral. Lineage: Bacteria; Pseudomonadati; Pseudomonadota; Gammaproteobacteria; Enterobacterales; Enterobacteriaceae.
GCCCUGGCAGUCAGAGGCGAUGAAGGGCGUGCUAAUCUGCGAUAAGCGCCGGUAAGGUGAUAUGAACCGUUAUAACCGGCGAUACCCGAAUGGGGAAACCCAGUGUGACUCGUCACACUAUCAUUAACUGAAUCCAUAGGUUAAUGAGGCGAACCGGGGGAACUGAAACAUCUAAGUACCCCGAGGAAAAGAAAUCAACCGAGAUUCCCCCAGUAGCGGCGAGCGAACGGGGAGGAGCCCAGAGCCUGAAUCAGCAUGUGUGUUAGUGGAAGCGUCUGGAAAGGCGCGCGAUACAGGGUGACAGCCCCGUACACAAAAGCGCAUGUGCUGUGAGCUCGAUGAGUAGGGCGGGACACGUGGUAUCCUGUCUGAAUAUGGGGGGACCAUCCUCCAAGGCUAAAUACUCCUGACUGACCGAUAGUGAACCAGUACCGUGAGGGAAAGGCGAAAAGAACCCCGGCGAGGGGAGUGAAAAAGAACCUGAAACCGUGUACGUACAAGCAGUGGGAGCACCCUUUGGGUGUGACUGCGUACCUUUUGUAUAAUGGGUCAGCGACUUAUAUUCUGUAGCAAGGUUAACCGAAUAGGGGAGCCGGAGGGAAACC